This 552-nucleotide ribosomal RNA is filed under the name uncultured bacterium. RNAcentral describes it as "partial 16S ribosomal RNA". It matches the Rfam family "Bacterial small subunit ribosomal RNA", at positions 355 to 896 of the family's 1533-position model. The record is from RNAcentral.
UGGGGAAUAUUGGACAAUGGGCGCAAGCCUGAUCCAGCCAUACCGCGUGGGUGAAGAAGGCCUUCGGGUUGUAAAGCCCUUUUGUUGGGAAAGAAAAGCAUUCGGUUAAUACCCGAUUGUUCUGACGGUACCCAAAGAAUAAGCACCGGCUAACUUCGUGCCAGCAGCCGCGGUAAUACGAAGGGUGCAAGCGUUACUCGGAAUUACUGGGCGUAAAGCGUGCGUAGGUGGUUGUUUAAGUCUGUCGUGAAAGCCCUGGGCUCAACCUGGGAAUUGCGAUGGAAACUGGGCGACUAGAGUGUGGCAGAGGGUAGUGGAAUUCCUGGUGUAGCAGUGAAAUGCGUAGAGAUCAGGAGGAACAUCCGUGGCGAAGGCGACUGCCUGGGCCAACACUGACACUGAGGCACGAAAAGCGUGGGGAGCAAAACAGGAUUAGAUACCCUGGUAGUCCACGCCCUAAAACGAUGCGAACUGGAUGUUGGUGCAAUUUGGCACGCAGUAUCGAAGCUAACGCGUUAAGUUCGCCGCCUGGGGAGUACGGUCGCAAGACUG